GCAUUAUUAGAGCCCAAACUGAAAUGCAAAUGGAGAAUGGAGUAUCAGAUUCAUCCCACCUCCUUAUUUCAUUUGGUUUCAUCUCUCUCUCAAAGAGCUUCUCGCUGGAACCUUGCUCUGCCGAGCGGAGUUGUCCUUCUUGACCAAACACCACCGGUAAACCACUUCUCUCAUCCUUAUCUAUCUGAUUCUAGUCUCAAUUUCUAUCGAUCCUCCAAAAAUUCUCAAAAUCGUGCCAAAUUAACCAAGAACCCUAAAGCUUAGAAUCAAAAUUAAAUGAAGACAUGAGGGAAUCAAUCCAUUCCACAUUGGGGCUUUGAUUCCCCUCAAUGAAGGCUACAUGUUGGUAUCAAAAAUCAAGCAAACAGAGGAAGAGGUGGAAGGUGUCACCGACCUGCAAAACUGAGAUUUGUCUUGGAAGAUUUGAAGCUUAAUGAUGAUGAAGACGAAAGUCAAGAAGAGAAAUACAAAGGAAUAUUCAGAACAACGGACUCAUAGUUAAAGAUAUCUUAUUUGACGCUGAAGACAAGCAUGUCUAAAAGAAUCACUCCAAAUACUCUGGAAACUCUACAUCAUACAAAAUUCAGAACAACGGACUCAUAGUUAAAGAUAUCUUAUUUGACGCUGAAGACAAGCAUGUCUAAAAGAAUCACUCCAAAUACUCUGGAAACUCUACAUCUGAAGACAUAUGAAGAUCCUAAAUAUAAAACUCUGAAUAUCCUUAUAUCAUAAGACUUUCUAGUUGAAGACCAGUCAAAGAACUUCUGAAGAAGACACAACAGACAACUAUUCGAAGCAUACAAGAUCUGAGAAAAGAAUCUGAAUUUCAUGCACUCUGAAUCACGCCCAACAUAUCAUAAUCAAUAACUUAACAAAGAAGUAUUACAAGUAUGGUAUGAAUCUUUAUAUGGAUAAUAUUGAAUACUCUCCAAAAAUGCUAUGAAAAGGACAGUGGAAUUAAUGUCAUUAAGUCUCAUAAUUGGCAAGAUAUCAACAUUAAUGCUCUAUUCAACGGUAUCAUCUCCAAGCACUAUAAAAAAUAUCGGCUAUCAUCAUACCAAAAUAUGAAGCUAUCACACAAGAAUUCUGCAAAUCCAAUUUAAGUCAUAUGCUAAAUUCGUGUUGUAAGUCAUCACACACGAGUUGUUGCUCCAAGUAUGAUCAUUGAUCAUUGUUUUAAUUGUGUUAAUAUUGCUUAUCUAGAAGCACCAAACACAUUCUUGUAUUUCUAAAAUAGUUGUUGUAAAUUCCUCAAGUGACUAGUGAAGUCUGUAGACUUGAGAGGGCUAAGAGAUCGUUGUACUCUUAGGUGAUUGUUGUAAUCUUUCUAGAUUAUUGGAUUAAGUCCUUAUUAAAGGCGAAAUCACCUUGGCCGGGUGGACUGGAGUAACUUUAAUUUUCAAGUGAACAAGGAUAAACUUCUGUGUUGUUUGUUA
This is a long non-coding RNA of Lathyrus oleraceus (garden pea), 1436 nucleotides long. RefSeq lists it as uncharacterized. The record is from RefSeq and is a predicted model, not a curated record. The transcript has 2 exons. NCBI's taxonomy places the organism in Eukaryota, Viridiplantae, Streptophyta, Magnoliopsida, Fabales, Fabaceae.